CUGCUGCCUUCCGUAGGAGUUUGGACCGUGUCUCAGUUCCAAUGUGGGGGACCUUCCUCUCAGAACCCCUAUCCAUCG
RNAcentral lists this ribosomal RNA (78 nucleotides) under uncultured bacterium. Its description in RNAcentral is "partial 16S ribosomal RNA". The record is from RNAcentral.